This 85-nucleotide transfer RNA is filed under the name Nitrosomonas sp. RNAcentral describes it as "tRNA-Leu". It matches the Rfam family "tRNA". From Rfam's summary of the family: Transfer RNA (tRNA) molecules are approximately 80 nucleotides in length. Their secondary structure includes four short double-helical elements and three loops (D, anti-codon, and T loops). Further hydrogen bonds mediate the characteristic L-shaped molecular structure. tRNAs have two regions of fundamental functional importance: the anti-codon, which is responsible for specific mRNA codon recognition, and the 3' end, to which the tRNAs corresponding amino acid is attached (by aminoacyl-tRNA synthetases). tRNAs cope with the degeneracy of the genetic code in two manners: having more than one tRNA (with a specific anti-codon) for a particular amino acid; and 'wobble' base-pairing, i.e. permitting non-standard base-pairing at the 3rd anti-codon position. The record is from RNAcentral. Lineage: Bacteria; Pseudomonadati; Pseudomonadota; Betaproteobacteria; Nitrosomonadales; Nitrosomonadaceae.
GCCGACGUGGUGGAAUUGGUAGACACGCCGUCUUGAGGGGGCGGUGGCGAAAGCUGUGCUAGUUCGAGUCUCGCCAUCGGCACCA